Molecule: ribosomal RNA, 475 nt
Filed under: uncultured bacterium
Lineage: Bacteria
Description: partial 16S ribosomal RNA
Rfam family: Bacterial small subunit ribosomal RNA
Source: RNAcentral
AUUGAACGCUGGCGGAAUGCCUAACACAUGCAAGUCGAGCGGAGUAGCAAUACUCAGCGGCGGACGGGUGAGGAAUACAUAGGAACUUGCCUUUAGGUGGGGGAUAGCUUGGGGAAACUCAAGGUAAUACCGCAUGAUCUCGCAAGAGCAAAGGGGCGCAAGUCUCGCCGUUAGAGAGGCCCAUGUCUGAUUAGCUAGUUGGCGGUGUAAUAGACCACCAAGGCGACGAUCAGUAACUGGUCUGAGAGUACGAUCAGUCACACCGGAACUGCAACACGGUCCGGACUCCUACGGGAGGCAGCAGUGGGGAAUAUUGGACAAUGGGCGAAAGCCUGAUCCAGCAAUUCCGCGUGUGUGAAGAAGGCCUUCGGGUUGUAGAGCACUUUAGUGAGGGAAGAAACAGCUUGGCCACACCAAGCCUUGACGGUACCUCAAGAAUAAGCACCGGCUAACUCUGUGCCAGCCGCCGCCGUAA